UGGGGAAUUGUUCGCAAUGGGCGCAAGCCUGACGACGCAACGCCGCGUGGAGGAUGAAGAUCUUCGGGUCGUAAACUCCUUUCGAUCGAGACGAACAGCCUUCGGGUAAACAAUCCGGAGGUCUGACGGUACCGAGAGAAGAAGCCCCGGCUAACUCCGUGCCAGCAGCCGCGGUAAUACGGGGGGGGCAAGCGUUGUUCGGAAUUACUGGGCGUAAAGGGCUCGUAGGCGGCCAACUAAGUCAGACGUGAAAUCCCUCGGCUUAACCGGGGAACUGCGUCUGAUACUGGAUGGCUUGAGUUUGGGAGAGGGAUGCGGAAUUCCAGGUGUAGCGGUGAAAUGCGUAGAUAUCUGGAGGAACACCGGUGGCGAAGGCGGCAUCCUGGACCAACACUGACGCUGAGUGAGCGAAAGCCAGGGGAGCAAACGGGAUUAGAUACCCCGGUAGUCCUGGCCCUAAACGAUGAAUGCUUGGUGUGGCGGGUAUCGAUCCCUGCCGUGCCGAAGCUAACGCAUUAAGCAUUCCGCCUGGGGAGUACGGUCGCAAGGCUGA
Molecule: ribosomal RNA, 553 nt
Filed under: uncultured Acidobacteriota bacterium
Lineage: Bacteria; Pseudomonadati; Acidobacteriota
Description: bacterial SSU rRNA
Rfam family: Bacterial small subunit ribosomal RNA
Source: RNAcentral